CAACAGGGAUUGCCCUAGUAACGGCGAGUGAAGCGGCAACAGCUCAAAUUUGAAAUCUGGCGUCUUUGGCGUCCGAGUUGUAAUUUGCAGAGGGCGCUUUGGCAUUGGCAGCGGUCCAAGUUCCUUGGAACAGGACGUCACAGAGGGUGAGAAUCCCGUACGUGGUCGCUAGCCUUUACCGUGUAAAGCCCCUUCGACGAGUCGAGUUGUUUGGGAAUGCAGCUCUAAAUGGGAGGUAAAUUUCUUCUAAAGCUAAAUACUGGCCAGAGACCGAUAGCGCACAAGUAGAGUGAUCGAAAGAUGAAAAGCACUUUGGAAAGAGAGUUAAAAAGCACGUGAAAUUGUUGAAAGGGAAGCGCUUGCAGCCAGACUUGCCUGUAGUUGCUCAUCCGGGUUUUUACCCGGUGCACUCUUCUACGGGCAGGCCAGCAUCAGUUUGGGCGGUUGGAUAAAGGUCUCUGUCACGUACCUCCUCUCGGGGAGAUCUUAUAGGGGAGACGACAUGCAACCAGCCUGGACUGAGGUCCGCGCAUCUGCUAGGAUGCUGGCGUAAUGGCUGUAAGCGGCCCGUCUUGAAACACG
RNAcentral lists this ribosomal RNA (582 nucleotides) under Epicoccum nigrum. RNAcentral describes it as "LSU rRNA". It matches the Rfam family "Eukaryotic large subunit ribosomal RNA", at positions 66 to 663 of the family's 3401-position model. Lineage: Eukaryota; Fungi; Ascomycota; Dothideomycetes; Pleosporales; Didymellaceae. The record is from RNAcentral.